AACCAGCAGAUUCUGUAUAUGAUCAGUUUUCCGAGUUGGCGUUGACCAAAUGAUGUCGCUAACCUUAUUUCUGAUUAUCUUUAACUGUUAUGUAAUAGAUGGAAGUCAGUCCAUUCGAGAAGAAGCGGUAGGCUAUGCAUAUAAAAGAAAACCUGUAAACGGUAUUCUUUACAUAGAUGAAAGUUCUCAUCCUGGAUUUUACAACUUUAUUGACCCGUUUUACCGUUCAAAAAGUUCCAAAAAUAUUUCCGAUUUCAAUAGCCACACACCUGAAAAGCCGUCUAAACCUGCAUUUGUAGGAGGACUAGAAUCUUUCGGGAAAAAUUUUUGUAGGAAAGGAAGGUGUGCUGGACAUUCAUUUGGCGACUUUCAAAAACUGUUUGUCAAUUUAUUUUUUACACGAGAUGAAAUUAACAAAUUGGAUAAUCUUAAUAGACUUAUACAUCUACGGCAAACUAUACCGGGAAAACCAGGGGAACCCGACAAACCAGCCAUACCAGGUAGACCGGGCUUUACAUCAGAUGACGAUGGUGACCAAUGUUGCCCAACAAGCCUCGGCCACAUAAGUGAUACACAUCUGAUAAAUACAGACGGUAUACAAAGAGAGAUUGUUCAUUUUAUUGGUGGAAUCCCACCAUAUAAACAGUUUAUACCUAUAGGAGAGUGUGUGUCAUCUGGUAUUUGUAAUGACUGCAAGAUUCAACAGCGUCUUCACUUCCUGUUGAUAGUUGAUCCAGAUGCGGUGCAGUUUCCACCUGUAAAAUUUGACAAGUUUUAUAUUAACAGCUAUUGCUCUUGUAAAAAUAGAUAAAUAAACAACCGAUAGAUGUUGAGAAUAGUAAGAAACAUACGUGUAAUUAUUAUUGUUUUUUUCGUACUUAUCUUUUUGUUAUCUAUUUCAUCGUUAUUUUACAAAUUUACAGGUAAGUGA
Mytilus californianus (California mussel) is the source of this 931-nucleotide long non-coding RNA. RefSeq lists it as uncharacterized. The transcript is spliced from 3 exons. The record is from RefSeq and is a predicted model, not a curated record. Lineage: Eukaryota; Metazoa; Mollusca; Bivalvia; Mytilida; Mytilidae.